CUCUACAGGUUGUUUCUCUUGGAGUCUUUUUGGUGAGCCCAGGACAUGGGUUGGUGCUUGAGACGCUCAAGGAAUUGCAGGUGUGAACAGGAAUAUACUCUUGCUUUAAUUAAUCAGCUCGUCUGCACAACUGAAGAGCUGAACUUGGAACUUCUGAAAGCGCCAAUGAGGAACUGCGUAUUGAAUCACGUAAGAUGGGACAUGAAAAAUAUUUAAAAACGUUAGGUCCACAAUGCAGGCACCUGAGUAAAGGAUAGCAAAUAGCGAGCGAGUACUCGGCUGGUUGCCCAUGACAAGCUUUGCUCUGAGCCUGUUCCUCAGGUGGUCUUUGCAGAAGCAAAACAUGUCUUAAAUCACGAAGGACACUCGUGAAUUUUGUGAGUCACUCAUAUUCAUGCCUUAUACGUUGUCAUCAUCAGUACUUGGGGUGGCAUGCAUGCCUCUAAACCCAAAUAUCUCUGAAUUUUAGUCUUAGUCUUCUGUUUUGUUUGUUUUGCUUUAUUGUUUUUGUUGUUGUUUUGUUUUGUUUUACUUUAUAAAGCAAAGGAUACUUCACAGCAAGACUGUAUUUUUGAGCCUUAACUCUUCUCUUGGAACUACAUCAUUCACAUCUUCUCUGCUGGAAAACAGGUACAUCCACCAGUGCCUGGUCUCACAUAUCAGAACAUAAAGAAUAUAUUUAUGAGAUCCUCUGCUCUGAAAAGGCUUGGAUAUAAUUUCUGAAGCAGGGUGCUUACUCGUUAACAACUGAAAGAACCUGUUCCCAACAUUGCAUCCCACAUGCUGCUCAGAAUUUUUUCCUUUGAGCUGUGCUGAGAUUUCACAAAAGACUUGAAGGAGUCUCAUUUAAAUCCAACUGAGAAAUCUCACAUUGUUUACACCUUUUUGCCUAAAUGUCUGGACCAAGGGUUGUAGUUUCUCACAUUCGAAAUUGCAAGUAAAAGCUCACAGAGCCAUGAACUGAGCUUUAAAAAUCACCAGGUAUACUUGUUGUGCAGCCAAGACAUACUUUCUGAGUUUGUUUCACAACUUGAAGGAGAAUGGAAAAAGCCAGCCUUCCCAGCUGCAGGCCCAGGGCUCAUGGCAAGUAGCCUGGACCGGAGCUGCUGUUUAGAAACCCGUGGCAUCAUGCAGCACCAGGGCUAUGCAAAAUAAAGCAAGCAGUGGGGGGAACCUUCAAAGCCAACCCAUUUUGUUGACCUGAUAGCAAGACCUGGAUUUCAGAGGAGGGCAUUCAGAAGUGUAGCCUGCAGCUCAUAUUGAUAGUGAGGACCUGUUUCACGCAAACCCCCUACAGGGAUCUGAGCACAGGGACUGUCAGUAGGUCCCUGCUCUGGGAGCACUUGGGGGCUGCUCCGGGUUAGGUGCCAGAGGUAAAUGAGCUGCUGCCCAGUCACAACCCAGACU
This 1407-nucleotide long non-coding RNA is filed under the name Gallus gallus (chicken). Its description in RNAcentral is "lncRNA (ENSGALG00010008559.1)". Lineage: Eukaryota; Metazoa; Chordata; Aves; Galliformes; Phasianidae. The record is from RNAcentral.